RNAcentral lists this long non-coding RNA (389 nucleotides) under Mustela putorius furo (domestic ferret). Its description in RNAcentral is "lncRNA (ENSMPUG00000025314.1)". The record is from RNAcentral. Lineage: Eukaryota; Metazoa; Chordata; Mammalia; Carnivora; Mustelidae.
UCCUGCUGGUUUAAGCUUCUAGACUGUUACGGCUUGAUGGGUCUAAUCUUCCACUUUAGGGAUGCAGAAACUGAGAUCUGAGAGGGGAUGGAACUGGAGCCAUGCCUCUUGCCUUCUAGUUUGACGUUCUUCAUUCCCUCGAAUUUCCAGGGACAUUUAUCUCCUCUUGCCUUCCUCUCGGGAAGACUUGUCCUGCUGCUCCAGCCACAGUUGCCUGCGUUGGAAGCCAGGGGGCAUUUUUAUGUUUCCCGACCUCUGUAAGUCAAAUGAGAAGUUCCUUGAUAUGUUUUGAAUCUCUGUGGCUAUCUUGCCUAACCCCGGUGGCCGUCCCUGCCUCCCCAACUUUAGCCUCCCACUGCUCUUCCCCUGCAGUCUUGUGGGCUCCAUCC